This 285-nucleotide unclassified non-coding RNA is filed under the name uncultured Exophiala. Its description in RNAcentral is "sequence contains ITS2". The stretch from base 1 to 52 matches the Rfam family "5.8S ribosomal RNA", at positions 103 to 154 of the family's 154-position model. Lineage: Eukaryota; Fungi; Ascomycota; Eurotiomycetes; Chaetothyriales; Herpotrichiellaceae. The record is from RNAcentral.
AACGCACAUUGCGCCCUUUGGUAUUCCGAAGGGCAUGCCUGUUCGAGCGUCAUUAUCACCCCUCAAGCCCCCGGCUUGGUGUUGGACGGUUUGGUGGAGACCCCCCGUGGGCUUCCCACCCCUCCCAAAGACAAUGACGGCGGCCUCGUUGGACCCCCGGUACACUGAGUUCUUCACGGGACACGUAUCGGACAACAUGGGUUUACGGGCCACGGUCUGCCUCCCCUCAGGGAGAAUCUUCUUAAGGUUGACCUCGGAUCAGGUAGGGAUACCCGCUGAACUUAA